GACGAACGCUGGCGGCGUGCUUAACACAUGCAAGUCGAACGGAAAGGCCCUGCUUUUGUGGGGUGCUCGAGUGGCGAACGGGUGAGUAUCACGUGAGUAACCUGCCCUUGACUUUGGGAUAACUUCAGGAAACUGGGGCUCAUACCGGAUAUGAGCUCCUGCUGCAUGGUGGGGGUUGUAAAGUUUCGGCGUUUGGGGAUGGAAUCGCGGCUUAUCAGCUUGUUGGUGGGGUAGUGGCUUACCAAGGCUUUGACGGGUAGCCGGCCUGAGAGGGUGACCGGCCACAUUGGGACUGAGAUACGGCCCAGACGCCUACGGGGGGCAGCAGUGGGGGAUAUUGCGCAAUGGGCGGAAGCCUGAUGCAGCAACGCCGCGUGCGGGAUGACGGCCUUCGGGUUGUAAACCGCUUUCGCCUGGGACGAAGCGUGAGUGACGGUAAUGGGUAAAGAAGCACCGGCUAACUACGUG
RNAcentral lists this ribosomal RNA (468 nucleotides) under uncultured bacterium. Its description in RNAcentral is "partial 16S ribosomal RNA". It matches the Rfam family "Bacterial small subunit ribosomal RNA", at positions 28 to 507 of the family's 1533-position model. The record is from RNAcentral.